AACAAUUAUUUUUAAUUAGAAUUUGUGCAAAUUGGGAAAGGAAUAACAUUAACAUUUCUGACUGAAAAUUACGUAUUUAACAGUGCGUGGCGGCUAAGACAACAAAAAAUUCAUCAACCAAUUAAUCCGGUAAUAGUACUAUACAUUUUAAACUAUUUGAAGAAAUAUAAGCAAAUGCAACAAACGCAGUCAACAAAUCCAAUUGGCACUCUCUGUGGUGGACGCGUGUAGAGCGCCAAUUUCUCUGUGUACUUUGUGUUGUGCUCCAGUUUAUACAUGGUUUUUGUUAUUGUAAACUGGCUGCAAGCUACACUGCCUGCUGUGCCUUUUCUGCUGCUGCCUCUUCUUUUUGGGGGGAUUAUGUUGUUAGUGCAUAUGGUUGGGGACUCGUCAGCAAAAGAAAUAUAAUUCAGUCUCUUCUUCGCUGCGUACGGUGCAUUCUCGAAAAAAUUUAGCUGCUGCGUAUAAAGACAACAUUAUAUACAUUUUGACUAUAGAGAAAAGGAAUAUAGGAAAUGCUACUCAACCGAAACAAGUAAUAAGAAAAACCCCAAAAAUAUACAUGUGACCUCCUUUAAAAAUUAUAAUUAACAUAAGUUGUCACCUAAAUGUGCCAACAAUUAGUAUAUAAGAACAAAU
Molecule: long non-coding RNA, 639 nt
Organism: Rhagoletis zephyria (snowberry fruit fly)
Lineage: Eukaryota; Metazoa; Arthropoda; Insecta; Diptera; Tephritidae
Source: RefSeq, a predicted model, not a curated record